Molecule: ribosomal RNA, 362 nt
Filed under: uncultured bacterium
Lineage: Bacteria
Description: bacterial SSU rRNA
Rfam family: Bacterial small subunit ribosomal RNA
Source: RNAcentral
GCAAUACUUAGUGGCAGACGGGUGAGUAACAUGUAGGUAUCUACCCUUUGGCCUGGAAUAACACGAGGAAACUUGUGCUAAUACCAGAUAAGUCUUUACGGAGAAAGCUUUAUGCACCAUUGGAUGAGCCUGCACUUGAUUAGUUUGUUGGUGGGGUAAUGGCCUACCAAGACUGUGAUCAAUAGCUGAUUUGAGAGGAUGAUCAGCCACAUUGGGACUGAGACACGGCCCAAACUCCUACGGGAGGCAGCAGUGGGGAAUCUUGCACAAUGGAGGAAACUCUGAUGCAGCGAUGCCGCGUGAGUGAAGAAGGCCUUUGGGUUGUAAAGCUCUUUCGUCGGGGAAGAAAAUGACUGUACCCG